RNAcentral lists this ribosomal RNA (492 nucleotides) under uncultured bacterium. RNAcentral describes it as "partial 16S ribosomal RNA". It matches the Rfam family "Bacterial small subunit ribosomal RNA", at positions 29 to 507 of the family's 1533-position model. The record is from RNAcentral.
AGUGAACGCUGGCGGUAGGCCUAACACAUGCAAGUCGAACGGCAGCACAGUAAGAGCUUGCUCUUACGGGUGGCGAGUGGCGGACGGGUGAGGAAUACAUCGGAAUCUACUUUUUCGUGGGGGAUAACGUAGGGAAACUUACGCUAAUACCGCAUACGACCUACGGGUGAAAGCAGGGGAUCUUCGGACCUUGCGCGAUUGAAUGAGCCGAUGUCGGAGUAGCUAGUUGGCGGGGUAAAGGCCCACCAAGGCGACGAUCCGUAGCUGGUCUGAGAGGAUGAUCAGCCACACUGGAACUGAGACACGGUCCAGACUCCUACGGGAGGCAGCAGUGGGGAAUAUUGGACAAUGGGCGCAAGCCUGAUCCAGCCAUACCGCGUGGGUGAAGAAGGCCUUCGGGUUGUAAAGCCCUUUUGUUGGGAAAGAAAAGCAGCAGGUUAAUACCCCGCUGUUCCGACGGUACCCAAAGAAUAAGCACCGGCUAACUUCGUG